CAGCAACGCCGCGUGAGGGAUGACGGCCUCCGGGUUGUAAACCUCUUUUAGUAGGGAAGAAGCGAAAGUGACGGUACCUGCAGAAAAAGCACCGGCUAACUACGUGCCAGCAGCCGCGGUAAUACGUAGGGUGCAAGCGUUGUCCGGAAUUAUUGGGCGUAAAGAGCUCGUAGGCGGUUUGUCGCGUCUGCUGUGAAAUCCCGAGGCUCAACCUCGGGCUUGCAGUGGGUACGGGCAGACUAGAGUGCGGUAGGGGAGAUUGGAAUUCCUGGUGUAGCGGUGGAAUGCGCAGAUAUCAGGAGGAACACCGAUGGCGAAGGCAGAUCUCUGGGCCGUAACUGACGCUGAGGAGCGAAAGCAUGGGGAGCGAACAGGAUUAGAUACCCUGGUAGUCCAUGCCGUAAACGUUGGGCGCUAGAUGUAGGGACCUUUCCACGGUUUCUGUGUCGUAGCUAACGCAUUAAGCGCCCCGCCUGGGGAGUACGGCCGCAAGGCUAAAACUCAAAGGAAUUGACGGGGGCCCGCACAAGCGGCGGAGCAUGCGGAUUAAUUCGAUGCAACGCGAAGAACCUUACCAAGGCUUGACAUACACCGGAAACGGCCAGAGAUGGUCGCCCCCUU
This 621-nucleotide ribosomal RNA is filed under the name Curtobacterium sp. Ri3Pw_6242. RNAcentral's name for it is "bacterial SSU rRNA". It matches the Rfam family "Bacterial small subunit ribosomal RNA", at positions 389 to 1019 of the family's 1533-position model. Lineage: Bacteria; Bacillati; Actinomycetota; Actinomycetes; Micrococcales; Microbacteriaceae. The record is from RNAcentral.